This is a long non-coding RNA of Triticum aestivum (bread wheat), 1126 nucleotides long. RefSeq lists it as uncharacterized. Lineage: Eukaryota; Viridiplantae; Streptophyta; Magnoliopsida; Poales; Poaceae. The record is from RefSeq and is a predicted model, not a curated record. The transcript is spliced from 4 exons.
AUCAGGUUCUUUAUUUCUCUUUUGAUUGAUUUAAGGUAUUCACAUAUAUAGUGGUUCCCAAUACCCAUAGAAUUAUUGUUUUUAAUUGGCUUCUUGGCUUCUUGCGUCCGUGGGUCAUCUAGCGCCGCCGACAUCGUUUUCUAUCAGGCUCACUUCCUAUCUUAUAUUGAUUGUUGUACUGCACUACCUCAGUUUUAAAGAUCAGCAUCCUAAAUUCCUAAUCGAACCAGAAAAGCACAGGGUAUAUUCCAGUCAUAAUGGAGAUGCUUGUGAUAAGUUUGGUACCUUCCUCUGCUACAUCUUUUGGUGUUAUGGGCCGUUCCUAGAUCUCUAUAUUUUGCAAGAGGCCAUGUUAUUUUGGUAUGCAAGAGCAGGCCUGACAGGUAUGUACAAGCUAUUUAAGAGGGCCAAGAAGGCGGAAUAACCUCGCUUAUACAGUUUCUGACUGCUAACAGUGCCAUCAUCAAUGAGCUUCACUCUAAAGUCUGUUCAUGAGAGGGUUGGGCUUCCUUCAAUGCUAGGGCUGAAAUUGGAGAAUAAACAAGGGGUUGACAUGCCUGUGAAGUUCUAUUAGGACAGCGUCUCCCCGCGUUCUCGAUCCGGCGCCGCCACAUAUUGUGAUUCUGGAUCGGGCGCAGGUCGUCGCAUAAGAGAGCCUGGCUGGUGUGGUCUUCAUGCUUGGUGUGGAGAAGCACGGGAGGAUGAGUAGGACGGGCAUGGGGAAGGAGCAGCCAGGCCGGAGCUCCGGCGUUGCUCGUGUCAUGGUCGAAUGGAGCCGGCCAUCACUAUGGGCUUCUGCUCGCCGGUCGUUGUUCCCCAAUCUCAGUUGCUCAUCUUUGGCUUCACCAUCUUCCUCCCCUGAUCAUGCAUCUAUUUUAGAUCAUAUAAUUAUGCUAUAUCAUAUAUGUUGUUUAGUUCUGACUUGUGCAUGUGCAUGCAUUGGCAUUGAUUUAGACAGAGAUAUUGCAUAUUUGUACAUAGAAGGAGUACGGAUGAUCUAGAAAUAAAUGUUUGAAUAAAGUUAGUAGUGAGAUUUAGGUAGAGGUUACCUGCACUGUUCUGUUUUAUGUAGAUUCUAAGCUGCAAAAUCAUACAUGGUCCUGUUAGUAAUUUGUUUGAGUUGUGA